UCCAUGUGGUUGAUGCCAUUCUAUUGACCCCAUUCCAGCCAUUAUUAUGAGCCGUCCUCCCCUCAGCAGCCUCUGCUUUCCACUAUUUAUUUUUUUAACAAUUUGAAGUGUUAAAUAUUAGCCACUAUUGAUAGCCACCGUCAGUUAGACCCACAUACAUUUAUAACUCUCACGUUUGUGUUAGUUUACAUUUCUUUCCUCUCACGUUUGUGUGGUUGUUCCUGAGGAUAGCUAGCAGUAGUGGAUCAUAUUAGGCUAACUAACGUAUUACAAGUUGUGCAACAAUUUGGGAUAGGUAGUCUAUUUGAAUCAUUAUGGAACACAGACCAUACUUAGCCAUUUAAACCUGGAGCUUGGCUUUGGUGGUAUACCAUGUUUUGGAAUAAGCCCAAACAUUGUUUAAUACCCUCAAAACUAUGUCUUUGAAGUUUUUAAAAAGUAACUACAAAUAUUCAAAUGUAUUUAAGUUAAUGGUUGCAGUCCAGUGGAGGCUGCUGAGGGGAGGUCUGCUCAUAAUGUGUUUGAUGAUACCUUUCCAUUUAUUCUGCUCCAGCCAUAACCACGUGCCCGUCCUCCUCAGUUAAGGUGCCACCAACCUCCUGUGCUGCAGUCAACUUGUGCAAUAGAUUAGGAAAUAAAGCAGAUUGCGUUCUUCAUUUCACCUGUCACAUUAUUUAACAUUAUGAAGCUUACCGUAGUUCCCCAGAACAGUUGAGCCAGUCACGUGUGGUAUUCAAUUCACUACUAGAUGUUUGCCAUCAGAUAUAACGGCUGAUGUGCUUUAGAAGUAAAAAAAUAUAUAAUCUGAGUUUUCUUUACACCUGCCAUUUUUUCUCCUAUAAUUGUUUCCCUUCUCUGUGCACCAUGUACACAUGCUGCUCUUCCUUCAGAAAAGUUUGCAUCACAACUUUAUUCAUUUGCACAAUUUCUCUUCUUUAGGAUUGUGUUGGCGGAUAGCAUCCAAUUUAAGGUACAUGCACCUCCACCUACUCUACUGGAGUGUGAGGCUAUUCACUGUCUACCAACAUUUAGGCUCCCGAGAUGCGAAGCGGCCUAAGGCACUGCAUCUCAGUGUAAGAGGCGUCAUUACAGACCCUGGUUAGAUUCCAGGCUGUAUCACAAAUGGCCGUGAUUGGGAGUCCCAUAGGGGUUUGGCUGUCAUUGUAAAUAAGAAUGUGUUCUUAACUGGCUUGCCUAGUUAAAUAAAGGUUACGUUUAAAUUAUUAUUAUUAUUUUUUAAAUCUUUGUGAUACAGUAUUGUAAAAUUGGGGAAAAGGAAAAAUUAUCCUGCCAACUAUUAGCCCUCUCUAAUACAAAAAUAAACAUCACUCCAUUCCACGAUUUACCCUAUCCAAUCCUAUUCCAGACCAACGUUCUGGGCGGACAGAACACUACGGCUCAACACCCCCUGCAACUGUUCUGCAGUAAAAACCUUGCAAUCCCAAGUAUUUCUCUGCCGCUGCCACCACAACCUAUAUUUUAUGUGACCUUCGAUCGAUUUCUGCAGUACAAUUGACAACCACAGCUAUGAAUGCCUACCUUACUGAAGCACAUAUUCUUCCCAUCACUCUCUAUUAGUAUCUGCAUGCUCACAUGAAUCCUCUCAGGAUCCCUCACACAAUUUAUAUUGUUUACUUUCGCUUGUAAAUGUCCACACUCACUGAAAAUGACAUUCGGUAGCUACUAGCUAUGCUUGUAUAACGUUGAGCUGUAUUUGCAUUUCUUUGCAAUUAGUUUAUGUUCAUCUUCCCUCGUUAGCAUUUAGCUAACAGCGUUGGUGUGAUUUCCCUAUUAUUUGUGCUAAUUUUGUUCGGAUUUUGGUAUUAGAGGCCCAAUGGGCUUUUUUUGUGUUGUGCUAUGCCGGUAAUACGGUAAAUCUCAGGAUGGCAAUGGAAAGAACAGUAUGACAAUGUGGAUAUCGCCCAAGCCUACCUUGCGCACUGGUGUCAUCACAUUUCCAUGAUUAUUAGGGUAGAUUUAUAGGACUACUGUUCAACCCCUAUUGUACUUACCUUCCAAUAGUUCAUGGAUUGAACAAUUGCAUAUGCCAACUUUCAGGAUGAAUCAAUAUAUUUAGUGCAUAAAAGCUCUCCAAACCUGUUUUUUAUUAUUUAUAAAUACUUUCCUAACCCUAAAUAAUAUAUUCCAAUGAGUCUGUUGAGAAAAUUGUAUUUAUAGCUACACCAAAUUUAAAGGUAUGGCUUUAGUUAAAUGUAAUGAAAACCCUAUUGAAUGAAAAUGGCACAUGAAAUUCUGUUGGCCAGCAAGUCGGAGGGUUUUCAGCGAUUAAAUUAAAUGUAUUCAGCGUGCAAGGGAACUACGCCUGCAAAGCCCUUAAGGUAAGUCUGAAUACCAACUACUGAGGAGUGCGUAGGAAAGGCAUACAUUUCCUAAGUAUGAAUCGGGCCCAUUCUUAAAUUCAAGGUCAGAAUACCCACAGAGAGAAAAGUGCAUAAAAAAAGGAAUUAAGUUCCAUUUACACACAUAAUUCGGGUGUGAAAGCUCUCCAAACCUGUUUUUUUUAUGUAGGUAGAUUCAUAAAUACAUUCCUUAGCCUAAAUAAUAUACAGUGCAUUCGGAAAGUAUUCAGACCCCUUCCCUUUUUCAUUUACGUUUCCUAGGUGAGUAGGAUAAUUAUGAGAUGGAGUUACAUCGGGAUGCCACCAGGCUGCAAGCAAGUCGGGAGAAGAGGAGGAAUAUUGGGACACGUACACAGAAAGGUGGAUUUCUGUGGAGUAAUGGAACAGGGAAAAAAGAGGAAGAGGUUGAAUGAGGAAAGCAGAGGUUGGAUUUGAAUUUGGGUAUAUGAGAUUUGACUUCCAGAAGAGUUACAGGGUGUAUUGAGUGGUGGUGCCCCGUCCUCCCAGUUCGUUGGCAUGGUGCAGGAGCAGAUAGGGUCAAAGUAGUGGAAUGGGGUAGGGUUAGUUUCCCAUCUUGUUACACAAAGUGUAAUGAAUUUAUACUAUAGUUCAGUUGGUGGCGGUAAUGCAACAUAUUGGAUGCCAAUCGCCAUUAAACUCCACCGAAGAAGAGAGGAAGUGAACCAUAGCGUCAUAUGAACGAGAUCAGGAUGGAACCCCAAAGAACUUCUAGUGUGUUUGUAAACAACAGCUAGCUAGCUAAUUUAGUCUAGUUCAGGGCCCUCCAACCCUGUUCCUGGAGAGCUACUCUCCUGUAGGUUUUCGCUCCAACUCCAGUUCUAAUUAACCUGAUUAAUUUUACUAACCAGCUAAUUAUUAGAAUCAGGUGUGCUAGAUUACGGUUGGAGCAAAAACCUACAAGAAGGAAGAGCCCAGGUCUAGUUUUCUCAAGGUCAAAAAUAGCAUUUUUAACAUAGUAUUUGCGGGUGGGAUGGUCGGAUUAAUAUAUUUUUGAAAAUGUAUGUUUUUAUAGAUUUCCCAAAGAAGCAUUUCAGCAGGCUGCUUUGCCUGCAUGGAUAGCAAUGUUAGCAGCAGGAGGUGACAGCGCCAGGAUGUGUACUAGGGUUGAAUGGCUGGAACCCGGUUACGGAGAUUUACCAGGAUAUACCAUCCAAACCACUCCCUUUUCCCUGGAUAAAUAACUGAGAACCCGCCUCUGCAUGAUGAAUCAACGCUCAGGGUGGGGACAGACAGCCCAUCUCAGUAUGGAGAGCAGUUCACAAUGCAUGUAGACCUAUCAUCUCAUCAUGGUAAAAGUUUUUCUUGUAGUCCUACAUUUGCUGCAGCACAGCCUAUACUACAGUAAUAUAAAGACCUAAUGAGUGUCUAAUUUACCUAUCUCCAUUUGGUUUUCGGGGGUCACCUUGUCCUUUAAUUGUAAAGACUAUCAUUUUUUAAAAUAGCAUCUGCAGUCUCUCUCUCUCUUUCUCUCAAAAAUAUAGAUAAUCCCGUACUAGAUCUAUAUAUUGAUUUCCUAGCCUACCUCUUUCAGGUAAUACAUUCAAUGCAGUAUUAUCCUUUAUAUUUAGCAAAAAUAAUGAUGGGUUAUGCAUAAUACGUUUCUAACGUAUAGGCUGUCUCUUGCACAAUAUGCAAGCACCUGUGCUUCACUGGCCUCUCCUUAACUCUUGGAAUCCCAUGCAGGAAAAGCUCAACUAGAAUAACAUAUAGCACAUUUUUUUUGUAACAUUUCCUAAACCAAUAGACUAUUUGAAGAGGGACGCAAGCUCUUUUUUGCUGAAUGUUAAAUACAGCAGCCAAUAGAACUCACAGGUAGUUUGAAUGGUUAUGGGUCUGAAUAAAUAACUGCUAUCACCUACCAUCAUCGCGUGUUUGCUCUUUCAAUCUUUGUGAGGAGAAGUUAAAGCCUUCUGCGUCUAAUUCUAGUCCUAUAUUAUUCAAGGAUGUCAUUAGAAUGAUGAAGAUAAGGACAACAAAACUUAUUUCAUUUAACUGUUGAACGCGAGGAAGGAAUGAAGCAACAAUAGAGAAAGAGGUAAACUAAUAACAUUAGGGGAAAUAUUAUGAAAGGUAUAUAUGCGUCAGCCUACUAAUUAUCCAAAUAGGCCCUAUUAUAUUUAAAAAAUGUAAUCAAAUUUGCUAGCCUAUAGGCCUACUUCUAACUGUGUAGGCCACAUGUGCUGCACCAGAAUCGCAUGUUCUCUCCCUGCUUUGUUAUGGUUUGAAUGAUGUGCGUAAUUCCAGUCCAUAUAAUACAGUAUAAAACAGUACAGUAAUACAGUUAACACUCAGAGAUUAGCCUACUGGAGCUUGUCUAAUCUAUUUACCCAAUGGGUUGUAUUGUAACUAUUUUAUUAUAGUGCAAGUAUUUUCAUGACGUCAUAAAAGGGGAUUGGGCAAGUUGGUCCAUGUGCAUCCGUCUCCUGUGUUAUGUUACUUGUUCUUUCAUUAACGUCAACCAAAGUGAUAUUAGCCUCUGGAUUUUUUACAUAAAGCAUAACACUACACUGAAGAGAGCAUAUAGCUUGCUACAUCUAUGGGCUUUUCAGUUUUUCUGUUGUGCGUAAUAUGCAGUAGCCUAUUUCACAUGUAUUGGAUAACGGCACAAUCAUUUGAGCUUUUUUGGGCUUGAGCUCACUAAAUGUCGUUAAUGUAGGCUUCAUAAAAUGUAUUUAAUAUGGCUGGUCAGGUUCAGGUAGCAUCAGGUUAGAAUUUUCAUGCUGAUCAAAGCUACAAUCAAAUCCAGAAAUAUUUAUAUGCUUUAUAAUGCUUUUGAAUGACACUUCCGGCUUUUGUCGAGAAAUACCGGGUUACCCGGGAGAAAAGGGAUUUAUUCUCGGGAUGAAACAUUUGUAAAAUACCAGGAAAAUAUUCAACCCUAAUGUGUAGCACUUGUUGUUUAUCAAGCUAACAAUCUAUUCUCGGUAAAGUUAGCUAGGUAGCUAGCUACAUACAUAGAAAUAGGAUAGGCUGCCAUCCAAUAUUAGUUUUUUUAAUGACACAAACGUUAGCUUGAUCUACUAUAAACAACAAUGUUAGCUAGCUAAUCAACAUAUUUCAUGGCCAGCAUGGCCAAGAUGUUCAAAUGUUCAUAGAUGACCAGCAGGGUCAAAUAAUAAUAAUCACAGUGGUUGUAGAGGGUGCAACAGGUCAGCACCUCAGGAGUAAAUGUUAGUUGGCUUCUCUUAGCCGAUCAUUCAGAGUAUCUUGAAAUCCAAGAUGGCAUAGCAGUUCAGAUGUCUUUUUUGUCCUCGUAUUGUCGUGUCCUGUAUAUAUAUAUAUUUACACCUUUCUUCGCAUAUCUUUAUAUAUUUUAUUAUCCAAGAACUCAACUACAAAAGCUUUCCUGCAACCCGCCUCACCAAUUACAAAAAAAAAAGUAUUAUUUACCUCAAAUCUGAAAAUCCACAGUGGAAGCUAGCCAGAGGCUAACCAGAAGCCGUCCGAAGCUAGCCGGAAGCUACCCAGAAGCUAACUAGAAGCUAGCCAGUAGCUGAUCUGAAGCUGCCCAGAAGUUAGCCGGUUUGCUGGCUAGCGUUGGUGUUUCAGCUGCCCAUGUUUUGUGGUCUUCAGCUAUUCCUUUAGCUCGAUAAUCUAUCGGCACUUUUGUGCAACGCGACUCGGACCGGAGCAUACCGGGCCUAUUUUUCUCAGUGUCCCCGGAUUUCAGCCGCAGGCUCUGGACGUUUGCACCUUGAUUUCGCAGCUAGCUAGCUGCAAACCGUGUGACUAUUGGCUUACGUCGAUCCCGGAGCAAACUUAAAUUAUUCCGGAGCUAGCCAGCUGAGGAGUUCCAUCAGCCAUUCCUGGGCUACAGUCACCUAUCCGGACCUGUUUUUUUGUUGUUGCUGCAGAUGCGGAGCCCCAUCGGGCCUUCACGACUGACUGCCGACAUUAUCUGCCCGAGGGAGUUAUCCAACUGGCACCUCCGUCGCAACGUUACCUGAACGCUCAUCUGGGGCCCGCUAAUCGUUAGCUGUCUUAUCGGCUGCUAUCUGAAUAAGUAUAUCGGACAAUUUUUUUCUUGGGUCACUAUAUCUAUUUUGCCAAUUGGAUUGAUCCCCUCUACCACAUGGAACCCCACUAAUCUACCGACGGAAACGCACGAGGUGUCUAAAAAUAGACAUCCUAUGCUAUCUUGCUACUGAUAGCCAUCUACCCGGCCAGCUGUCUGGAUCGCCGUGACCCCAACCAACCUCUACUCACUGGACCCUUAUGAUCACUCGGCUAAGCAUGCCUCUCCUUAAUGUAAAUAUGCCUUGUCCAUUGCUGUUCUGGUUAGUGUUUAUUGGCUUAUUUAAUUGUAGAGCCUCUAGCCCUGUUCACUAUACCAUAUCCAACCUUUCAGUUCCACCACCCACAUAUGCGAUGACAUCACCUGGUUUCAAUGAUGUUUCUAGAGACAAUAUCUCUCAUCAUCACUCAAUACCUAGGUUUACCUCCACUGUAUUCACAUCCUGCCAUACCUUUGUCUGUACAUUAUUCCUUGAAGCUAUUUUAUCUCCCCCAGAAACUUCCUUUUACUCUCUGUUCUAGACGUUCUAGACGACCAAUUCUCAUAGCUUUUAGCCGUACCCUUAUCCUACUCUUCCUCUGGUGGUGUAGAGGUGAACCGAGGCCCUGCAGUACCUAGCUCCACUCCUAUUCCCCAGGUGCUCUCUUUUGAUGACUUCUGUAACCGUAAUAGCCUUGGUUUCAUGCAUGUUAACAUUAGAAGCCUCCUCCCUAAGUUUGUUUUGUUCACUGCUUUAGCACACUCUGCCAACCCGGAUGUUUUAGCCGUGUCUGAAUCAUGGCUUAGGAAGACCACCAAAAAUUCUGACAUUUUCAUCCCUAAUUACAACAUUUUCAGACAAGAUAGAACGGCUAAAGGGGGCGGUGUUGCAAUCUACUGCAAAGAUUGCCUGCAGAGUUCUGUUUUACUAUCCAGGUCUGUUCCCAAACAAUUUGAACUUCCACUUUUAAAAAUCCACCUCUCUAAAAACAAGUCUCUCACCGUUGCCACCUGCUAUAGACCACCCUCUGCCCCCAGCUGUGCUCUGGACACCAUAUGUGAACUGAUUGCCCCCCAUCUAUCUUCAGAGCUCGUGCUGCUAGGCGACCUAAAUUGGAACAUGCUUAACACCCCAGCCAUCCUACAAUCUAAGCUUGAUGCCCUCAAUCUCACACAAAUUAUCAAUGAACCUACCAGGUACCAACCCAAUUCCGUAAACACGGGCACCCUCAUAGAUAUCAUCCUAACCAACUUGCCCUCCAAAUACACCUCUGCUGUUUUCAACCAAGAUCUCAGCGAUCACUGCCUCAUUGCCUGCAUCCGUAAUGGGUCAGCGGUCAAAUGACCUCCACUCAUCACUGUCAAAACGCUCCCUGAAACACUUCAGCGAGCAGGCCUUUCUAAUCGACCUGGCCGGGGUAUCCUGGAAGGAUAUUGAUCUCAUCCCGUCAGUAGAGGAUGCCUGGAUAUUUUUUUUAAAUGCCUUCCUCACCAUCUUGAAUAAGCAUGCCCCUUUCAAGAAAUUUAGAACCAGGAACAGAUAUAGCCCUUGGUUCUCUCCUGACCUGACUGCCCUUAACCAACAGAAAAACAUCCUAUGGCGUUCUGCAUUAGCAUCGAACAGCCCCCGUGAUAUGCAACUUUUCAGGGAAGCUAGGAACCAAUAUACACAGGCAGUUAGAAAAGCCAAGGCUAGCUUUUUCAAGCAGAAAUUUGCUUCCUGCAACACAAACUCAAAAAAGUUCUGGGACACUGUAAAGUCCAUGGAGAAUAAGAACACCUCCUCCCAGCUUCCAACUGCACUGAAGAUAGGAAACACUGUCACCACCGACAAAUCCACUAUAAUUGAGAAAUUCAAUAAGCAUUUUUCUACGGCUGGUCAUGCUUUCCACCUGGCUACCCCUAAACCCGGUCAACAGCACUGCACCCCCCACAGCAAUUCGCCCAAGCCUUCCCCAUUUCUCUUUCUCCCAAAUACAGUCAGCUGAUGUUCUGAAAGAGCUGCAAAAUCUGGACCCUUACAAAUCAGCCGGGCUAGAUAAUCUGGACCCUUUCUUUCUAAAACUAUCUGCUGAAAUUGUUGCCACCCCUAUUACUAGUCUUUCCAACCUCUCUUUCGUGUCGUCUGAGAUUCCCAAAGAUUGGAAAGCAGCUGCGUUUAUCCCCCUCUUCAAAGGGGGGGACACUCUUGACCCAAACAGCUACAGACCCAUAUCUAUCCUACCCUGCCUUUCUAAGGUCUUCGAAAGCCAAGUUAACAAACAGAUUACCGACCAUUUCGAAUCCCACCAUACCUUCUCCGCUAUGCAAUCUGGUUUCAGAGCUGGUCAUGGGUGCACCUCAGCCACGCUCAAGGUCAUAAACGAUAUCUUAACCGCCAUCGAUAGGAAACAAUACUGUGCAGCCGUAGUCAUUGACCUGGCCAAGGCUUUUGACUCUGUCAAUCACCACAUCCUCAUCGGCAGACUAGACAGCCUUGGUUUCUCUAAUGAUUGCCUCGCCUGGUUCACCAACUACUUCUCUGAUCGAGUUCAGUGUGUCAAAUCGGAGGGUCUGUUGUCCGGGCCUCUGGCAGUCUAUGGGGGUGCCACAGGGUUCAAUUCUUGGACCGACUCUCUUCUCUGUAUACAUCAAUGAUGUCGCUCUUGCUGCUGGUGAGUCUCUGAUCCACCUCUACGCAGACGACACUAUUCUGUAUACUUCUGGCCCUUCUUUUGACACUGUUAACAACCCUCCAGGCGAGCUUCAAUGCCAUACAACUCUCCUUCCGUGGCCUCCAUUUGCUCUUAAAUACAAGUAAAACUAAAUGCAUGCUCUUCAACCGAUCGCUGCCUGCACCUGCCCGCCUGUCCAACAUCACUACUCUAUACGGCUUUGACUUAGAAUAUGUGGACAACUACAAAUACCUAGGUGUCUGGUUAGACUGUAAACUCUCCUUCCAGACUCACAUCAAACAUCUCCAAUCCAAAGUUAAAUCUAGAAUUGGCUUCCUAUUCCGCAAUAAAGCAUCCUUCACUCAUGCUGCCAAACAUACCCUUGUAAAACUGACCAUCCUACCAAUCCUCGACUUCGGUGAUGUCAUUUACAAAAUAGCCUCCAAUACCCUACUCAAUAGAUUGGAUGCAGUCUAUCACAGUGCCAUCCGUUUUGUCACCAAAGCCCCUUACACUACCCACCACUGCGACCUGUACACUCUCGUUGGCUGGCCUUCGCUUCAUACUCGUCGCCAAACCCACUGGCUCCAGGUCAUCUACAAGACCCUGCUAGGUAAAGUCCCCCCUUAUCUCAGCUCGCUGGUCACCAUAGCAGCACCUACCAGUAGCACGCGCUCCAGCAGGUAUAUCUCUCUGGUCACCCCCAAAACCAAUUCUUCCUUUGGCCGCCUCUCCUUCCAGUUCUCUGCUGCCAAUGACUGGAACGAACUACAAAAAUCUCUGAAACUGGAAACACUUAUCUCCCUCACUAGCUUUAAGCACCAGCUGUCAGAGCAGCUCAGAUUACUGCACCUGUACAUAGCCCAUCUAUAAUUUAGCCCAAACAACUACCUCUUUACCUACUGUAUUCAUUUAUUUAUUUUUGCUCCUUUGCACCCCAUUAUUUCUAUCUCUACUUUGCACUUUCUUCCACUGCAAACCAACCAUUCCAGUGUUUUUUUUUAAACUUGCUAUAUUGUAUUUACUUCGCCACCAUGGCCUUUUUAUAUUUGUAUUUAUUUUUAUAUAUAUUUUGUUUGCCUUCACCUCCCUUAUUUCACCUCACUUGCUCACAUUGUAUAUAGACUUAUUUUUCACUAUAUUAUUGACUGUAUGUUUGUUCUACUUAUUAGGGUUUGAGGCAGAGAAUCCCAGUGGAGAGAUGGGAACCGGCCAGGCAGAGACAGCAAGGGCAGUUCGUUGCUCCAGUGCCUUUCCGUUCACCUUCACACUCCUAUGCCAGACUACACUCAAUCAUAGGACCUGCUGAAGAGAUGAGUCUUCAAAAAAGACUUACAGGUCGAGACCGAGUCUGCGUCUCUCACAUGGAUAGGCAGACCAUACCAUAAAAAUGGAGCUCUAUAGGAGAAAGCCCUGCCUCCAGCUGUUUGCUAAGAAAUUCUAGGGACAGUAAGGAGGCCUGCGUCUUGUGACUGUAGUGUACUUGUAGGUAUGUAGGGCAGGACCAAAUCGGAAAGAUAGGUAGGAGCAAGCCCAUGUAAUGCUUUGUAGGUUAGCAGUAAAACCUUGAAAUCAGCCCUAGCCUUAGCAGGAAGCAAGUGUAGAGAGGCAGGCACUGGAGUAAUAUGAUCACAUUGUUUGGUUCUAGUCAAGAUUCUAGCAGCUGUGUUUAGCACUAACUGAAGUUUAUUUAGUGCUUUAUCCGGGUAGCCGGAAAGUAGAGCAUUGCAGUAGUCUAACCUAGAAGUGGCAAAAGCAUGGCUAAAUUUUUCUGCAUCAUUUUAGGAUAGAACGUUUCUGAUUUUUGCAAUGUUACGUAGAUGAAAAAAAGCUGUCCUUGAAACAGUCUUGAUAUGUUCAUCAAAAUUGAGAUCAGGGUCCAGAGUAACGCCGAGGUCCUUCAGUUUUAUUUGAGACGACUGAACAACCAUCAAGAUUGUCAGAUUCAACAGAAGAUCUCUUUGUUUCUUGGAACCUAGAACUAGCAUCUCUGUUUUGUCCGAGUUUAAAAGUAGAACAUUUGCCACCAUCCACUUCCUUAUGUCUGAAACACAGGCUUCCAGGGAGGGUAAUAUUGGGGCUUCACCAUGUUUCAUCGACAUGUUUUGUCGUCCGCAUAUCAGUGAAAGUUAACAUUAUGUUUCCGAAUGACAUCACCAAGAGGUAAAAUAUAUAUUCCUACACUUAAAUUACCCUUGCCUAACGAUUGCGUCUGAAGCUGGGCUUGCAGCACAGCUAUCCUCGCCAUAAGGCAAUCGUUCUCCUGUAUAUUAAGAGUACAGCGACUGCAAUUAGAAGUCAUAAUGUUAAUGUUACUACUUAGCUUUGGAUGGUGGAGGUCCUGAGAAACCACGUCCAGAUAAAGCGUCCGGGGUGAAAAAGUUGAAUGAAAAAAUUAGAUGAAAAAAAUAAACAUAAAACGGAAUUUAAAAAGUAAAAAACGUAAAGUUGGCAGGUAGCAAAGUAAGGUUAUCAAAAAAACGCACAGCAGCACGUUAACAAGUAUUAGACACUAUUCAAUCAUCUCUUGUUUUAGAGUAAGAUGGAUGUCUAAACCCACUAACCAUUUAUGUAGGUGUUCUUUGUAUGACAUGAAAUAAAGUGUUGAGUAUAACGUA
Long non-coding RNA from Salvelinus fontinalis (brook trout), 11647 nucleotides. RefSeq lists it as uncharacterized. The transcript has 2 exons. The record is from RefSeq and is a predicted model, not a curated record. NCBI's taxonomy places the organism in Eukaryota, Metazoa, Chordata, Actinopteri, Salmoniformes, Salmonidae.